Molecule: ribosomal RNA, 528 nt
Filed under: Sceloporus undulatus (fence lizard)
Lineage: Eukaryota; Metazoa; Chordata; Lepidosauria; Squamata; Phrynosomatidae
Description: partial 16S ribosomal RNA
Rfam family: Bacterial large subunit ribosomal RNA
Source: RNAcentral
AGCCUUUAGCUAUUCAAGUAUUAGAGGUAACGCCUGCCCAGUGAACCAUUUUUAACGGCCGCGGUAUCCUAACCGUGCAAAGGUAGCGUAAUCACUUGUCCCUUAAAUAGGGACCAGUAUGAACGGCUAAAUGAGGAUAAACCUGUCUCCUUUGACAAGUCAGUGAAACUGAUCUACCAGUACAAAAGCUGGUAUAAACCCAUAAGACGAGAAGACCCUGUGGAGCUUUAAAUUUUAACCAAGCAACUAACGCAAACCAAGCCAAUGGCUAAAAAUUUUAAGUUGGGGCGACUUCGGAAACAAACCAAACUUCCGAGCAUAAGAUCAACGUCUUACCAAGACCUACAAGUCAAAGCUAAAAUUGACCCAGUACCACUGAUAACCGAACCAAGUUACCCCAGGGAUAACAGCGCAAUCUUCUUCAAGAGUCCCUAUCGACAAGAAGGUUUACGACCUCGAUGUUGGAUCAGGACACCCCAGUGGUGCAGCCGCUAUUAAAGGUUCGUUUGUUCAACGAUUAACAGUCCU